AGCGAACGCUGGCGGCGUGCUUAACACAUGCGAGUCGAACGUGAAAUGUAGCAAUACAGAGUAAAGUGGCGUACGGGUGAGUAACACGCGGGUAAUCUACCAAAGAGCCUGGAAUAACCGACCGAAAGGUUGGCUAAUACUGGAUAGUUCAAAUGAAAUAUAAUGUUUCGAUUGAGAAAGGGAGCGAGCAAUCGCCUUCACUUUUUGAUGAGCCCGCGUCUGAUUAGCUAGUUGGUAGGGUAAUGGCCUACCAAGGCGACGAUCAGUAGCUGGUCUGAGAGGAUGAUCAGCCACACUGGAACUGAAACACGGUCCAGACUCCUACGGGAGGCAGCAGUGGGGAAUCUUGCGCAAUGGACGAAAGUCUGACGCAGCCACGCCGCGUGAGUGAAGAAGGCCUUCGGGUUGUAAAGCUCUGUCGGAAGGGACAAAAACGUUUAAGGUUAAUAGCCUUAGAUCUUGAUGGUACCUUCAAAGGAAGCACCGGCUAACUUCGUGCCAGCCGCCGCGGUAA
Molecule: ribosomal RNA, 514 nt
Filed under: uncultured bacterium
Lineage: Bacteria
Description: partial 16S ribosomal RNA
Rfam family: Bacterial small subunit ribosomal RNA
Source: RNAcentral